GGGGCUAGGAAGCUCCGACUACGGUGCUACAAACACCGAUCCGAACGAGGUGGAAUACGUCGACCGAUAGGGCUGUCACUACCCUAGGGCUACCACAACAAUCCGCAGGAUUGGGUGCAAUUCCAGAUAAUUGCAAGACUAAACACCACGUCUAAUCUAUUAAUUACUACUCUAAUGUUUCAAAGAUUAGAGCACUUGAUGCAAGCGGGAAUCUAAUAAAUAACUUGAAUGUAAAUAAAAGUAAUUAAAGAACUCAGGAAUUGUGAAAUGAAGAACCUGGAGAACGAUGAAGAACGAACCAGUUGCUGCAAAAGUACAAUGUUGAGGAAGAUCCGACAGAUCCGGCUCCUCCUCCGCUCUCCUCUUCUCUCUCCCUAUUUUCUAGAUUACAACUAGAACUAACUAGAACUAGGACUAGAGGAACUAGAACUAGAACUAGAUGAACUAGAACUAGAUCUAGAUGAACUAGAGGUAGAACUAGAAGAACUAGAGGGAUCCUCUCUACUUGGAUAAAGAAUUGAAACCCUAGCUUUGAUUCUGUAGAAGAGGUAUGAUCUCCAGGGGCCAGGGGGUCUGGUUUUAUAGUCCCUUCAAGUGAAUCUGGGCCGUCGAAUCAAACCGACUUUGAUCGUGUGGUUUUUCUUGAAGUAUUAGGUCGGUGGAGCAUGAUCCCCGAGCUUCACCCUGAUUGGUCCAGGGGGGAGGGCGGGCGCCCAGUAAAGGAGGGCAGGCGCCCAGUGCCCGGCCCCGUCACGUCUCCCGUUCGCUCCCGUGGCUUCUGGACUCUUCUAGAUGGUAGAUAAUUGCGCGUCAAGUUAAUAUCCCUAUGUAAACCCGACGUAUGGGCCUUUCUUCCGUAUUUCCUGAUAACCCCCUACAGAAAUAGACAAACACCAAAACUCGUGGAAUUCUGUCAGAUAAAACCCUAAGUCUAGGUGUUAGUUGCAUUUGGAUCCUUUUCCUUGAUUAGUUGAUGGUUAAAUAUGAGCAUUGAGGACCGUCAACAAGCUCCCCCAAGCUUAACCUUUGCUCGUCCAUGAGCAAAGAUGGAGUCAAGAGUUUCUGCAGUGGUUUCAUGCCUUAAACGUACACAUGCGUUCAAACAAGAUCUCAUCUCUGAGUUAGGGUAAACUAUUAAGAUUUAAACUUACUCAUUUUACCUUUCACCAUGGGGCUUACAACCGUCACUUAUGUCUUGAGCAGUUAAAAGAUAGAACGGUCUAGUUAAACACCAUGUCUCUUAUUCUUGAUCAGCUAUAGCUCUGGAGUUUUUUUGCAGAUUUUCAAAUAAAACUCAGAGAUUCCUUGUAUGACUCUCUCUAGUCUCUCUUUUGUGGUAUUUCUGGAUUCUUACCAAGACAGUAAUGGUAUAUGCCUUCUCUCAAAGUAUGUGGUAUUUUUGGUAUAAGGCAUAGUGGCAUUGCCUUCUCUCUCACCCUACUCUAAUAAGGUUUUGAUAUCUGGAGCUCAUAGGUGGGAGAUAGCUAAUACAUACUUACAAGACAUUUAUUGCAUAGUCAAACCAUGGAUCCAGAAGAACAAGUCAAUAAGUCAAAUCAAGAUAUGCAUGUGUGGCAAAUGAAUGGUGAUAAUGGUGAAAGUAAUGGUGCAAGUCUAAUUCUACUUUUGCUCUUUUGAGGGGGUACAUACCUUUCUUGCUCUUUUGAAACUUUUUGAGGAGAAUGAGAUGCUCUAUAUUUUCUUUUUCUUUUCUCUCAGGUGGGUAUCUUGUAUCCCUAAUUCUACUGUCGGACACUUGUCCAUUUUUACCUCUCGUCUUACUUUUUUUUUCUUUCGAGGUUCCGGGCACUUGCCCCUUUUUAUUUCCUCGUAUACUUUCUUUUUUUCUUUCUUCUUUUUUUAGAGCACUCAUUUCCUAAAAUAAUAUAGCAAGUGGUAGUAACCAAGAUAACUUGAACAUUUAUUUCACAGGGAAAAACAUAAAUAGAAGAAUGUUUUUGGUUAUUCUCUCCCGGAUUAGGAGUAGAAUAUUUUUGGGUGGUUCUGGAGAUGGAAAUGGAUGGAUAUAUGUGGAUGUGUACUUUCGAAGUAGAAGUAGCAUGUAUGAGUGAACGUGCAAAUGAAUCUUGAUUUAACCACAUGACAAGCUCCUAAGGGUCUACACAGCUUGACCACACUCAAUGCUCAUAAGCAGUAAAAAGUAAAUGUGUAGCUCAAAGUCUAGCAAGCAUGUAUAUAUGGCUGUGGUAGGAAUUUAAACUCUCAUCAUACAGGAACUCAUCAUGUGUUAUUUUAAAGAUUUUCAAAGAUAAAAUUCUCCAGAAUUCUAGCAUCUCUAGGAACAGAUAAACAGCAGCUCAACCUUCCCAUACCAUAUCCGUUAACGACUUAGACUUUAGAUCAAGUAGUCUUCCCACAAGUUCAGGUUUAGAGCAAAUCUUAAUUAAUAACAGUCAUGCCUAAACUUGAGGGAGAUUUCAAUUUUGAGAACUAGUCAUGGCAGAGCAACUAUUCAUCAUUUCCAUGUGAGAGCUUAUCAUAAGGGUUCAUAGCAAAUUUUAUUUAUUUAUUUAUUUAGCAAACUAAGCAAAGAUAUAUAUAAGCACAAAAUCUUUAUUUGGGUUUUUAUGAUUAUGCAUCUUUUUAUUAUUUGAGUAAAAUAUAAACGUGAGUAGAACACUUAGCUGGAUAAAUGGGGGUGCUCUCCCCCAAGCUGGAUUUUCACGUAAUUUCUUCUGAUGUAGCUAGUAGGUGGUGGAGGUGUAUUUGAAUGUCAGCAGCACCCUGACAGUGAUUAGGAUGUCCUCCGUCUGCUAGUCUUCUUUGAUCCUUGAAUUCUGUGGAGCUCAAAUAGACAACAAAGCUUUGUGGAACUGGUUAAGUGUUAGCAUAAAUAUUUAGCCUUUAUCAUGUUGAGCCUCCUCAAUAAAUGUUACACUCUUUAGUAGAAUCAUAAAUUUAUUUUUAUAAUUUUAUUUUUAUAGGACAUGAAUAUAUUUAUUUUAUUUUUAUACUACCGCAGUGAAUGUACUUAUGGGUUUUAUGCCAUGAGCAUACUCACAUGGGGCUUACUAUUUUUAAUAUUUUUAUUUUCUUUUCAAGAUGAUAUGAACCUUAUUAACUAAGCAAACUAUUUUAAAUAAUUGAAAGGAAAAAGAUAACUACCAAGUUUACCUCUUGGCAAGGCGUUCGGUGUUUUUAAGUCCUCCGAACGGGACUCUCCGUUUCCUCAGUCGUCCUGGGAUUCGCUGGAUGGCGUAGUCGGUGGUUCCGACGGCGUCUACUCUUCAUGUAUAACUAUCUUCUCUCUCCACACCUGCCUCGGUGCACUUCUCCUUCGUAGACUCGUAGUCCGCCCAUCCGUCCUUGAUGAUUUUCCUCGUCUGGUUGCGGUUACGUCGUCUUCUUCUUGUCCUGACCUGCUUAGAGUCUUCGACUAUAUAGUUAGGGUCAGUAAAAUAGCAACGUACCUUCUCAGAGGGAAAAUGCAUGUGGACUCUGCUGGUUCCAAUGUAGAUGAUUGCUUUAACGGUGCUGAGGAACAGUCUCCCAAGAAUGAUGGGUAGAUCGUACUCGUCUUCUCCCAUGUCAAUAACCUUUCAGAAUGUCUGAUAUGCCAUCUGGAGCUGAAUGUAUGUCGGUUUUAGGGGCAUGGUUCUGAACAGGAGCUGAUAGGUGACUGGGUCGUCCUUUUUGGUCAGGAACGGUGACUUAAGUCGACGGCCUUGACCUCCUUGAACUGCAGUGACCAUCUUAGCUGACUCAGUCUACAUUUGCUUGUUCCUGUUCCUCCUAUUGGUCCUCUUCCUUGGUUCAUGUCGGGAUUGCUCUGAGAUUUGUGUAGUCUUGUUCUUGAAGGAAAACGUCUCCUUUCUCUCUUUUGAUGUAGAAACUGAUCUUGGCAGCACUAGCGUAGAUGACAGCUCCUGAGGUGUUCAGAAAUGGCCUCCCUAGGAUGAUGGAUGCCCUCUCAUCAGUAUCAGUCUCUAUCACCACGAAGUCUGCUGAAGCGUAUAAGGUACCAACUCGGACAUAGAGGUUCUUCAAUAUUCCCCUGGGCAUAAUGUUGACACUGGAGCCAAAGUCGUAGAGUGCUUCUAGGAAGUCCACCAUGCCGAUGGAGAUCGGGAUGACGGGGUGUCCUGGAUUGUCUCUCUUGACCGGCAGAAGGUCAGUAAUUACUUCCACAACAGGGUUACUCCAAUAGUUACGUCCUCAAGCAUCUCAGGGCAGUGAAUGCCUGAGUGUCCAGUAUCUCCAGUGUGUUUGUGCUCGUAGAUCUAGGUUCUUCACUUGGUGGAGUCUGGGAGUUGUAAAAGUCCUUCAUAUUUUGCUCGAAGUGUACCUGCUCAUAGAGACAAGGUAGAGAUCAAGUGCAUGGGCCCUAUUGGUGGAAAACACCAACAGAACCAAAAGUGUAUUUGUUCUUCUCUAACCUUAAGCAUAGUGAGCAAGAAAAUGAUGGAUAAUAAGAUCAUGAGUAUAACAUUUAAAACAUUUGUCAGAUCAAAUCGCUCAACCUAGUGGAAAGAUAAUCUAUCUAUAUUUAUGUUGUUUUUUUAUAAAAUAUAUAUAUCUUCCAAAGAUUGAGUGUGCAAAAUUUUAGCUGAUAUUAGGAGUAUGGGAUCACAAAGGUGGAAGGACUAAACAUGUUGAAUCGAUUGGGUUGGUUAAUCUAGAGUUGU
This 4646-nucleotide long non-coding RNA is filed under the name Sorghum bicolor (sorghum). RNAcentral describes it as "long non-coding RNA (SBIC_LNC016505)". The record is from RNAcentral. Lineage: Eukaryota; Viridiplantae; Streptophyta; Magnoliopsida; Poales; Poaceae.